Molecule: small RNA, 143 nt
Filed under: Candidatus Parcubacteria bacterium
Lineage: Bacteria; Candidatus Parcubacteria
Source: RNAcentral
AAUCGCAGAUAUUCGCGGGCAUUGGGGAACGAGGUGUGAAUCCUCGACAGUGCCGCUACGGUAAUCCGCCUCCGGCGGAAAGUCCGAGUACCAAACCGCGAAUCGUAGGUCCAUCGUUCUUCGAAGCAAGGAACGGACUCCAC